This 253-nucleotide ribosomal RNA is filed under the name uncultured bacterium. RNAcentral's name for it is "partial 16S ribosomal RNA". It matches the Rfam family "Bacterial small subunit ribosomal RNA", at positions 524 to 776 of the family's 1533-position model. The record is from RNAcentral.
UACGAAGGGGGCUAGCGUUGUUCGGAAUUACUGGGCGUAAAGCGCACGUAGGCGGAUAUUUAAGUCAGGGGUGAAAUCCCAGAGCUCAACUCUGGAACUGCCUUUGAUACUGGGUAUCUGGAGUAUGGAAGAGGUGAGUGGAAUUCCGAGUGUAGAGGUGAAAUUCGUAGAUAUUCGGAGGAACACCAGUGGCGAAGGCGGCUCACUGGUCCAUUACUGACGCUGAGGUGCGAAAGCUAGGGGAGCAAACGGG